This 61-nucleotide transfer RNA is filed under the name Ictidomys tridecemlineatus (thirteen-lined ground squirrel). RNAcentral's name for it is "Spermophilus tridecemlineatus (thirteen-lined ground squirrel) tRNA". It matches the Rfam family "tRNA", at positions 6 to 65 of the family's 71-position model. Rfam says of the family: Transfer RNA (tRNA) molecules are approximately 80 nucleotides in length. Their secondary structure includes four short double-helical elements and three loops (D, anti-codon, and T loops). Further hydrogen bonds mediate the characteristic L-shaped molecular structure. tRNAs have two regions of fundamental functional importance: the anti-codon, which is responsible for specific mRNA codon recognition, and the 3' end, to which the tRNAs corresponding amino acid is attached (by aminoacyl-tRNA synthetases). tRNAs cope with the degeneracy of the genetic code in two manners: having more than one tRNA (with a specific anti-codon) for a particular amino acid; and 'wobble' base-pairing, i.e. permitting non-standard base-pairing at the 3rd anti-codon position. Lineage: Eukaryota; Metazoa; Chordata; Mammalia; Rodentia; Sciuridae. The record is from Rfam by way of RNAcentral.
UGCAGCUCAGUGGUAGAGCAUUUGCCUCACAUGUGAUAGGCCCUGGGUUCAAUUCCCAGCA